This 403-nucleotide ribosomal RNA is filed under the name uncultured bacterium. Its description in RNAcentral is "bacterial SSU rRNA". It matches the Rfam family "Bacterial small subunit ribosomal RNA", at positions 355 to 774 of the family's 1533-position model. The record is from RNAcentral.
UAGGGAAUAUUGCAAAAUGGGCGAAAGCCCGAUGCAGCAACGCCGCGUGGGCGAUGAAGGCCUUCGGGUCGUAAAGCCCUUUUUGAGGGGAUGAGGAAGGACAGUACCCUCAGAAUAAGCCUCGGCUAACUACGUGCCAGCAGCCGCGGUAAAACGUAGGAGGCGAGCGUUAUCCGGAUUUACUGGGCGUAAAGCGCGUGCAGGCGGAUUGGAGAGUUGGAUGUGAAAGCUCCCGGCUUAACUGGGAGAGGUCGUUCAAUACUUCCAGUCUUGAGUGCAGUAGAGGGAAGUUGAAUUCCGGGUGUAGUGGUGAAAUGCGUAGAUAUCCGGAGGAACACCAGUGGCGAAAGCGGCUUCCUGGACUGUAACUGACGCUCAGAUGCGAAAGCUAGGGUAGCAAACG